UAUGUGAUCGUCUCUCGCAUAUCAAUAAGCGGAGGAAAAGAAACUAACAAGGAUUCCCCUAGUAACGGCGAGUGAAGCGGGAAGAGCUCAAAUUUGAAAUCUUAAAGGGUUUCCCUUUACGAAUUGUAGUUUAAAGAAGUGUUUUCUGUUGAGGUUUUGGUAAAAGUUCUUUGGAAUAGGACAUCAUAGAGGGUGAGAAUCCCGUAUUUGACCUUUACUUUCAACUUUGUGAUACACUUUCAAAGAGUCGGAUUGUUUGGGAAUGCAGUCCAAAAUGGGUGGUAAAUUUCAUCUAAAGCUAAAUAUUGGCGAGAGACCGAUAGCGAACAAGUACCGUGAGGGAAAGAUGAAAAGAACUUUGAAAAGAGAGUUAAACAGUACGUGAAAUUGUCAAAAGGGAAGCGUUUGACACCAGUGUUGUUUUUCUGAAAAUCAAUUAAAGAACUGUUUAUGCUAAGUUGUUUAGACUUUAUCAGCUAAUCUGUUUAGUUUUGAGCUUUUCUUUAAUGCACUUUUCAGUUAACAAGUCAACAUCAAUUUCUUUUGCUGUAAAAAAGCUUGAGGAAGGUGGCUUGAGAUUCGUCUUAAGUGUUUAUAGCCUCUUGCCUAUGCAGUCGGAGAGAUUGAGGUCUGCAGCGUAGAUCCUCCGGGGCUAAAUGCAUUUGUGCUAAGUUAUAGCAUUUUAUAGACAACUUGUUGACUAUGAUUUGUCUUGUAGCUUACUCGCUUAUGUUAUUUUACCUACGCUUAGGAUGUUGAGUAGCGACAUACGCAC
RNAcentral lists this ribosomal RNA (775 nucleotides) under uncultured Neocallimastigales. RNAcentral describes it as "partial large subunit ribosomal RNA". It matches the Rfam family "Eukaryotic large subunit ribosomal RNA", at positions 24 to 649 of the family's 3401-position model. Lineage: Eukaryota; Fungi; Neocallimastigomycota; Neocallimastigomycetes; Neocallimastigales. The record is from RNAcentral.